Molecule: long non-coding RNA, 2639 nt
Organism: Nilaparvata lugens (brown planthopper)
Lineage: Eukaryota; Metazoa; Arthropoda; Insecta; Hemiptera; Delphacidae
Exons: 2
Source: RefSeq, a predicted model, not a curated record
AUACAAAAUUCCUUACCGUUGAUAAAUAAAUAAAUAGUUUUUAUUGUCGUAGACCAAUAUAGGUAAUUCACAAAGUCAUAGUAAUACAAUAUUACAAAAUAAUAGAGUCAAAGCAAUAGUUAAAAGGCACAAAGUAGAAUAAAUUACAUCGACUAGAAUCGAAAAACCCUGUCAAACAAUAGAAAGGCCUUAAAACCAGCCACUCAAAAAGUAAUUUUUAAAAAAUAACAAUAUUUUUACAACAUUUGAUAUCCAAUGGCAACUUAUUGUACAUUCUCAAGCCUAUGCUGUCACAGUGUUUCAUGCUUAUGACAAGAAUAUCAUGCUUAUGACUGAAUGGUAUAUCAAUGAGGUCUUUUUUCCUGGUGUUAUAAGCAUGAAUAUUGGAUCUUUUAUUCAAGCUAUGGAGAUUCUUUCUAGUGUAUAUGAUUACUUGAAAUAUAUAGAGAUUUAUGAAAUAUUUAUUUUUUUUGAAAAGAGGUCGACAGUGAUCUAGAUACCCUGCACCUGUCAAUAUUCUAAUAGCCUUUUUCUGCAAAAGCAAGACCUUAUUGAUGUGGCAGCUGUUUCCAUAUACUAAAAUUCCGUAUGAAAUUAUGCUUUGGAAAAAAGCAAAAUAUGAGUUUCUGAGGUAUUUUUCCGGUACAAGAUUCUUCAACUGCCUUAACAGAUAGAGAUAACCCUAGAUAACCUAACAGAAACGGAAUUUAUGUGGGGUUCCCAGGUCAACCUGUGAUCAAACAUUAAGCCCAAAAACUUUAAACUAUUGUUAUUGUUGUGUGUAUAGUCCCUGAGACCAAAUGUCAUAAGCUGAGUUUUAUCCUCGUUUAGUUUGAAGCCAUUCGCUGUGAACCACUUGGAAGCUUCCGCCAAGGUAUCAGCUGUCAUAUUAUGUAAAGUGUGUGCAUCUGAAUGAGAAUUAAGAAAAGUGGUGUCAUCAGCAUACAACACAGUCUUGCUGUUGAUUGUGAGAGGAAGAUCAUUUAUCAUCAAUACAAAGAGGAGUGGUCCCAAUAUUGAUCCUUGGGGGACACCGUACUUUACUUUAGCAAGAUCGGAUCUCUUAUUUCCUACACAAACAACUUGCUGGCGAUCGCCAAGGUACGAUCUAAAAAGACUAAGGCUCCUUCCACUGACUCCAUAAUAAACUAAUUUUUCAAGCUAAAUAUCAUGAUUCACGCAGUCAAAUGCCUUGCUCAGGUCACAGAAGGCAGCCUGAGCAAACCACCUGUUUUCAAAAGACUCAAUUAAUUUUAUUAGUGCAUCAAAGGCGUCAGUAGUGGAUCUUCCCUUCACAAAACCAAAUUGAUGCUCAGACAGUUCUCAAGAUUUACUAAGUAUUCAUACACCUGUAUAUACAUGACAAUCUCUAGAACCUUGGAGAAGACAGGUACUAUUUGGAUGGGUCUAUGACUGGAAGGUUCCUCUUUUGAGCCCUUCUUAUGAACGGGAACAACUUUGGAGACUUUUAAUACAUCGGGGAAAACACCUGUUUAUACAAAUGGUCAGUACUGGCACUACAGAGUGAGCAAUAGUUUUGAGAAGACAGCUCGAUAGACCAUAGAAAUCUUCACUCUUCGAAACUUUAAGAUUAUGAACCACUUUAAAAAUCAUCUCUUGACUCACCUCGUGAAAAAAGAAUAAGCUAUUUUGCACUUUAUUGACAUUAUCAUUGAGCAAUGCACUGGCUGUAAUUGAUGGCUUGUCUACUAUCUUCUCGUGCACAUCAUCUACUGAGUGAAUGAAAUAAUUAUUAAGUUUGUUUGGUUCAGGAGUAGAUAAGUUUACAACAUUCUUGUUGAAGGAUAAAGUUUUGAUAAUUUGCCAUGCUUUCUUACAUUUGUUAUUAGAAGAUUCGAUGAUUGAUGCAACAGAAUCCCUCUUGGCUUCAUCCAAUGAAUUUCUGUACAGUGCUCUGCAUCUAAGAUAAAGUGUUUUCGAAUGUUCUGUUUUUUGUUUUUUGAAGUUUUCAUGUAAGAGAGUGAGUAGAAUUUUAAUCUUACUAAGUUCAGGUGUGUAGGCUACCAGUCAGCCUUACAUUUGAAAUUCUUUCUAUUAUUAACUUGGGAAACUUUUUUUUACAGGUCUUUCUAGGGAUAGUUAGAUUGAAAUAAUAUAAAACUGUAUUGAGGAAGGAUUCGAAUAUAUCACUUGCAUCUGACUUUUCCAUGACAGCACUCCAAUCCUACUAUGAUGGCGAACAUGUGGAGUUGAUCCUCCGUGCAGAAUCGUCCGAGGCUGGCCAAUCAGUGGAGUUGAUGUUGACGUGAAUGAGUCAUCAUCAAUGAUGAUUAUUGCAUUCACAUGGACGUUGGUUUCCAUCGGAAUGGAAUGAACUGGUUUUCUGGCAGUUUGCUUCUUUUAUCAGGCUAGCCUACUGAGGACAGUGGAUAAAAUUGAUAUAUGGUGUUUUGUUACCAUGAUAUGGAGGGUAAUGGUGGAUGAGUGUGGGAUGACACUAACAGGACAAUAAGAAUCGCGUUUGAGAGAAGUGAAAUGCAUUCUAAGCUAGUAUUUCAUCUUAGCCAAGUAUUCAAGUUUAUGAAACUACUGUCUGUAAGACAGGUAUUACGAUGUAAGCAAAUACAGUUGUAGCAAAUAAUAUUAUAUCUUUGAUAAAUAAAAUUAAUUUGAAUUUA